GACGAACGCUGGCGGCAGGCCUAACACAUGCAAGUCGAGCGGCAGCGGGUCCCCGCGAGGGGAUGCCGGCGAGCGGCGGACGGGUGAGGAACACAUCGGAAUCUGCCUGGGUUGUGGGGGAUAACGUAGGGAAACUUACGCUAAUACCGCAUGAGACCCUGAGUCGACGGACUGGGGGUGAAAGUGAGGGACCUUCGGGCCUCACGCGACCAGAUGAGCCGAUGUCGGAUUAGCUAGUUGGCGGGUAACGGCCCGCCAAGGCGACGAUCCGUAGCUGGUCUGAGAGGAUGAUCAGCCACACUGGGACU
RNAcentral lists this ribosomal RNA (308 nucleotides) under uncultured bacterium. RNAcentral describes it as "bacterial SSU rRNA". It matches the Rfam family "Bacterial small subunit ribosomal RNA", at positions 28 to 320 of the family's 1533-position model. The record is from RNAcentral.